GAAAGUUUUUUAUUUUUUAAUUUAAAAUUCAUAAAAUUUUGGUUUUCUUUUUAAAAUUAUUUAUAAAUGAAAAAACCAUUUAUAGAAGGAUUUUAAUCUUGAGGACUAUUUAUGAACCCUAAACCCUUAGUUUUUUUAUUUUUAAAUUAUUUUUUAAAAACUCCAUUAGUUUGUUGAUGUGGCAUAUAUAUGGAGUGUAACAACCCGAU
Molecule: long non-coding RNA, 209 nt
Filed under: Prunus persica (peach)
Lineage: Eukaryota; Viridiplantae; Streptophyta; Magnoliopsida; Rosales; Rosaceae
Description: long non-coding RNA (PPER_LNC001007)
Source: RNAcentral